Molecule: long non-coding RNA, 2693 nt
Organism: Ictalurus punctatus (channel catfish)
Lineage: Eukaryota; Metazoa; Chordata; Actinopteri; Siluriformes; Ictaluridae
Source: Ensembl
UGUGUGAGCACAUUAUGGUGUCAUGAACUCGAUUAAGUACAAUUAACUAUCACAUCAUUUUUUUUUUAAAUGAAAGAAAUCGGACAUACUUGAUCAAGUGCUGUUUUAUAAGCUGUUGAAUAUUGAGAGUAGAAGCCAUUCUGCUAAAUUAAACUUGCCAUAGUUAUAUGUAAUAAUUAUAACUAAGACUACAAAAAAAAAAAAGUCUAGACAUUAUUAUAAAACCCCAUUUUGGGCAUGUUUACGCAAAAAAAAUCCAGCAACUCCAGGGGUGUGAACUACACGCAGGUAACUUCUGAUUAUUUGAAUGGACUGUUUAGAAAACAAACAAGCACCUGUGUGAGCUUACGCUAAAUAUGAGGAUUUUUCCAAGUGUAAUUAUUGACAUAGCUUUUAAAUUGAAUUCACCCGUUACACACAAAUAUGCCUACAACCAAUAAAUAUCGACUUUUUGCUAGGUAAUGCUUGCUAGGUAACUUACCAAGCCUUAUAGUCUGUGUUUUGAUCAUUUGUUUUGUUUUUUGUUUUGCUUUAUCUUGCCUUGCUCUCUGGUUUUUGGAUUUGCCCUCUUAUAGUGGUUUGUUGAUCACGUGACCUGACUUCUUGCUUGUUUCUGUUUACGUCAUUUACCUCACAUUUUGGAUUUGUUUGCUAAUAUUUCUAAUAAAACACUAAACUGCAUUUGGAUUCAUCUCUCACUUCGUUGCAUGACAGAUUACUUUGCCUAUUGUAUGAAUGCAGCAGGAGAGCAGGACUGACAAAACAUCAUGGCAGCCCAAGAAAGACUUGUGGUGGACUAUCAACAACAACUGGCUGAGCUGGAUGCAAAGCUGACGAUGCUCACAAAUUAGCUCCGCCCACCUUCGCUGCACCAGGAGCUCCAGCUGCGCCUCCAUGUUCACUCGCCUCCCAUCCGGACAAGUACUCAGAAGAGACUGCCCAAUGCAAAGGUUUUCGGUUGCAAUGCUCACAACCAUUGUCCAGCAACUUUUACAAUAGAAAUUUGAUCAUUCCCCCAAAGACAAAGAAAUUGGGGAACAGCUUCUUGCCAUAACCAAGGGGCAAAGAGCUGCAGCUGAGUAUGCCUUAGAGUUAGCAUAGAGAGAGUGGGAUUCAGAUGCAAUGAAUCAUACCUCAAGGCCACAUUUUGCCAGUGAUUAAGCUGGCUUGCCAAGAUGAGAAAAUGUCACUCAAUUCAUUGAUUGAUCUAGCUAUUCAUCUGGAUCACCUCACUCGCAACCGCCAAGUGCCUAAGGAAAUGUUGAACUCACAGCCAGAGAGCAGUUGUUCUGCAACGAUCCAGCUGGCUCAAGGCACUGAGAGAGAGAAGAACAGAAUGGAAAAAUUCUGCUCUUACUAUGGUAACCCUAACCACUUCCUGGCACAGUUUCCUUCUCGUGCCAAACCCCUAGCCAAACACAACCACACUGAGAGAAUCAAAACCUUCACCUGCUCCUCUAAGCAUUGAUUGAUUCCAGAUCUGCUGGCAAUUUCAUGGACCAAGCCAUCGGAGAGAAACUGAACAUCCCCACACAAUCACUUCAACAUCCUCUGAAAAUUCCUGCUAUUGAUGAUGGACACAUAGGAAACAGAACCGUAACACUUUGCAACAAACCCCUCCUUCUCAAAGUCAGGACUCUCACUCAAGAAUACAUCUCAUUUCUAACUACUGUCAAUACUAAGCACCCCAUCAUUCUAGGAUCUCCCUGGAUGCACCUCCAUGACCCACAAAUCUAUUGGUUCAACAAAGAAAUCACCAGAUGGUCCAGACACACACAGGACCUACAACCUAUUCAGUGCAAGAUGUUGGUGGCCUGACAUGUUGACUGACAUAUACCGAUUCAUCUUUUCAAGCACCACAUUUGCCCAAGCCAUAGUACCAUGCACUCUACCAGCUUCUCAACUCAUGACCUUACCCACAGCCCAGCGACCCUGGUCUCACCUUGCCAUCAGUCUCACGGUUACAAGAACAUAGUCAUCAUGGUCAUCAUAGAUCGAUUCUCAAAAUGGUUUGCCUAUUUCAUUCAAAACAGCAGAGUUCAUCUUUGUAAACAUGUUCUGUUACUAUUGAAUCCCGGAAGACAUUAUAAGUGACCAUGCUCACAUCCAGGUCUGGUCCAGUUUUAUGAAGAAACUGGGUGUCUCUGUAAGUUUAACACCUGGUUACCACCCACAAGUUAACAAAUAAGUUGAACAGGCAAACCAGGAGGUCAACUGUUUCUUAAUAUCAUUUUGUGCUGAGAACCAGGAGGCUUGGUCUCAGUUCCUUCCUUGAGCUCAGAAUGUGCAGAACUCACCAUUCAGCAAUGCAGUUGCCUCCUUUCCACUGUGUACUUGCUUAUCAACUACCCGUUUCCCCCUGGAACACUAAACCCAACGGAUUCACCCGCAGUGGACAAAUGGUUUGGGUGGAGUGCACAAGUGUGAGAGAUUAUUUACUUUCACUCGACUGUCCCUGAUUGGUGGAUUUAUCUCUCUUUGUAUACAUCUUUUUCUUUGUUCUGUAUUCAUAGUCGAUUAAGUUUAAAAGUUAUGUCAAUAUUUAUGCAUGUAAUGUUCUCUGUAUUCAGACUGGGCUUCUCUAUUUAUAUAACUUUUAGUAUUUCAUGGUCCAGCUUGAUAAUUGCUUGAUAAGUAUAAUGGUCCAACGUUGUUUUUUUGUUGUUGUUAUAAAUAAAUAAAAACAAUGAAAU